This 440-nucleotide ribosomal RNA is filed under the name Paenibacillus sp. CE22. RNAcentral describes it as "bacterial SSU rRNA". It matches the Rfam family "Bacterial small subunit ribosomal RNA", at positions 70 to 493 of the family's 1533-position model. Lineage: Bacteria; Bacillati; Bacillota; Bacilli; Caryophanales; Paenibacillaceae. The record is from RNAcentral.
GAUGGAGUGCUUGCACUCCUGAUGGUUAGCGGCGGACGGGUGAGUAACACGUAGGCAACCUGCCCUCAAGACUGGGAUAACUACCGGAAACGGUAGCUAAUACCGGAUAAUUUAUUACAUAGCAUUAUGUGAUAAUGAAAGACGGAGCAAUCUGUCACUUGGGGAUGGGCCUGCGGCGCAUUAGCUAGUUGGUGGGGUAANGGCCCACCAAGGCGACGAUGCGUAGCCGACCUGAGAGGGUGAACGGCCACACUGGGACUGAGACACGGCCCAGACUCCUACGGGAGGCAGCAGUAGGGAAUCUUCCGCAAUGGGCGAAAGCCUGACGGAGCAACGCCGCGUGAGUGAUGAAGGUUUUCGGAUCGUAAAGCUCUGUUGCCAAGGAAGAACGUCUCAUAGAGUAACUGCUAUGAGAGUGACGGUACUUGAGAAGAAAGCCC